Molecule: ribosomal RNA, 1343 nt
Filed under: uncultured bacterium
Lineage: Bacteria
Description: 16S ribosomal RNA
Rfam family: Bacterial small subunit ribosomal RNA
Source: RNAcentral
GACGAACGCUGGCGGCGUGCUUAACACAUGCAAGUCGAACGGAAAGGCCCUGCUUUUGUGGGGUGCUCGAGUGGCGAACGGGUGAGUAACACGUGAGUAACCUGCCCUUGACUUUGGGAUAACUUCAGGAAACUGGGGCUAAUACCGGAUAGGAGCUCCUGCUGCAUGGUGGGGGUUGGAAAGUUUCGGCGGUUGGGGAUGGACUCGCGGCUUAUCAGCUUGUUGGUGGGGUAGUGGCUUACCAAGGCUUUGACGGGUAGCCGGCCUGAGAGGGUGACCGGCCACAUUGGGACUGAGAUACGGCCCAGACUCCUACGGGAGGCAGCAGUGGGGAAUAUUGCACAAUGGGCGGAAGCCUGAUGCAGCAACGCCGCGUGCGGGAUGACGGCCUUCGGGUUGUAAACCGCUUUCGCCUGUGACGAAGCGUGAGUGACGGUAAUGGGUAAAGAAGCACCGGCUAACUACGUGCCAGCAGCCGCGGUGAUACGUAGGGUGCGAGCGUUGUCCGGAUUUAUUGGGCGUAAAGGGCUCGUAGGUGGUUGAUCGCGUCGGAAGUGCAAUCUUGGGGCUUAACCCUGAGCGUGCUUUCGAUACGGGUUGACUUGAGGAAGGUAGGGGAGAAUGGAAUUCCUGGUGGAGCGGUGGAAUGCGCAGAUAUCAGGAGGAACACCAGUGGCGAAGGCGGUUCUCUGGGCCUUUCCUGACGCUGAGGAGCGAAAGCGUGGGGAGCGAACAGGCUUAGAUACCCUGGUAGUCCACGCUGUAAACGGUGGGUACUAGGUGUGGGGUCCAUUCCACGGGUUCCGUGCCGUAGCUAACGCUUUAAGUACCCCGCCUGGGGAGUACGGCCGCAAGGCUAAAACUCAAAGGAAUUGACGGGGCCCCGCACAAGCGGCGGAGCAUGCGGAUUAAUUCGAUGCAACGCGUAGAACCUUACCUGGGUUUGACAUGGAUCGGGAGCGCUCAGAGAUGGGUGUGCCUCUUUUGGGGUCGGUUCACAGGUGGUGCAUGGCUGUCGUCAGCUCGUGUCGUGAGAUGUUGGGUUAAGUCCCGCAACGAGCGCAACCCUUGUUCACUGUUGCCAGCACGUUAUGGUGGGGACUCAGUGGAGACCGCCGGGGUCAACUCGGAGGAAGGUGGGGAUGACGUCAAGUCAUCAUGCCCCUUAUGUCCAGGGCUUCACGCAUGCUACAAUGGCUGGUACAGAGAGUGGCGAGCCUGUGAGGGUGAGCGAAUCUCGGAAAGCCGGUCUCAGUUCGGAUUGGGGUCUGCAACUCGACCUCAUGAAGUCGGAGUCGCUAGUAAUCGCAGAUCAGCAACGCUGCGGUGAAUACGUUCCCGGG